RNAcentral lists this unclassified non-coding RNA (993 nucleotides) under Hevea brasiliensis (rubber tree). Lineage: Eukaryota; Viridiplantae; Streptophyta; Magnoliopsida; Malpighiales; Euphorbiaceae. The record is from RNAcentral.
AGCUAACUCUCUAUCCUAUUUAGGAAAAAAAAAGAUAGUAGUGGCUCUCUCUUUAAUCUUGUAUAAAGAGAAAAAGCUUUGUUUUCACUUCUGUUCUCCCUCUGGUUUCAGCCAUUUCUUCUGCCUUCUCUGAGGCCUCCUUUUCCCCUUUCAGGUAAGGGAGGUCGUUCCUGGUCCAGAAUAGUGGGUUUUGCCCCUUAUUCUAGGUGGGGUUGUAAAUAUGUUACUUUUAGCUUGCUUUUGCAAAUUGAGCUAUGUUAGAAAGUCUGUGAACUGUGUUGGGUAUACAUGACCCUUUCUCUAUUGUUUUGAGUGUAGGUUUUGGAGCUUUUCAUAGAUGAUUCUUCAAUUACUUCAGGAUUAAUGGGUUAACGAUUUCCAGUGGCGUGGUAACUCUUUAAGAUAUUACCCAUAUCUUUCUUUGAGCAUUUAGUCUCUCGAUGGCCAGAGAAGUAAAAGAGCUUUGCCCACCACUCAUCUAUUCCCUUGGUUUCAGAUCCAUUUCACCACUAUGGCUUUGAGUUUCUUCUUGUUGCGCGGGUCCUUUUUGGCUUGCUUGACAUCUUGGAGGUGCUAUAUAGUGAGAAUUUCUUGAUCUGUGGGCUCUGGUCGUGUUGGUUUUCCCUUGUGCUUCCUCCAUUGUCCUUCGUCUUCCCCGAGAUGGGAUCUGCACGGGUUUUCAAUGCUGCGACGGCGGCAUUGCCAAUCUCAAUCAUCUAGAUCCUCUCACAGGUUGAAUUCUAGAAGAGUUUUCUUUAUUGGGGCCUCUGGCCCUUUCCAUUGUAUUUGUUUGGGGCAACCUUUUGGGGCCUUUUUUUUUUUGGUUUUUAUUGUUUUGGGCUUGUCUUGUGGAUUUUCUAUUAUGUUUAGCUAAGGUGAGAUCCUUUUAUCUCUGUAAUCCGUUGGUCCUAAUUGGUCCCUCUAGCUAUAUACCAGGCCCAAGGUCUUUCUUGCAAUGAAUACUCAACUUUGAAUAAACAAAUCCUAUCUAGG